RNAcentral lists this transfer RNA (67 nucleotides) under Amphioctopus fangsiao. RNAcentral describes it as "tRNA-Lys". The record is from RNAcentral. Lineage: Eukaryota; Metazoa; Mollusca; Cephalopoda; Octopoda; Octopodidae.
UAUUAAGUGGCCGAAAUACUAAGCACUAGACUUUUAAUCUAGAAAAUGAUUUAAUUAAUCCUUAAUG